RNAcentral lists this transfer RNA (72 nucleotides) under Camelus bactrianus (Bactrian camel). It matches the Rfam family "tRNA". Rfam says of the family: Transfer RNA (tRNA) molecules are approximately 80 nucleotides in length. Lineage: Eukaryota; Metazoa; Chordata; Mammalia; Artiodactyla; Camelidae. RNAcentral also lists the same sequence under 1 other name. The record is from Rfam by way of RNAcentral.
GAGGGUAUAGCUCAGCAGUAGAGCACAUGCUUAGCAUGCACGAGGUCUUGGGUUCAAUCCCCAGUACCUCCA